ACAAAAGCAAAACUCCGUCUUAAAAAAUAAAUAAAUAAAUAACAUUAAACUACGUCACUCAGCCUGUGAACAAUGGCUCACGCUUAUAACCCAGCAAUUUGGGAGGCCGCAGCAGGUGGAUCACUUGAGGUCACGAGUUCGAGACCAGCCCGGCCAACAUGGUAAAACCGCAUUUCUACUAAAAAUACAAAAUUAGCUGGGUGUGGUGAUGGGCGCCUGUAAUCCCAGCUACUCAUGAGGCAGGAGAAUCGCUUGAACCCAGGAGGCGGAAGUUGCAGUGAGCUGAAAUUGUGUCACUGCACUCCAGCCUGGGUGACAGAGCAAGACUCCGUCCAAAAAAAAAAAAAAAAAAAAAGGGACCAUGUUCUAGUGUAGGGGUAAGUGGAUUGUUUUGGCCCCAACCCCAAGAGGAUCAAGGGAGACCACUGCAGCUGCCCGAGAAAUUCUUGCCCUCUGACAAGAAACACCCUAUCCAGUCUGGGGAAUUUGCCAGUCCAACCCCUCCCCUUGGCUCAAGAUUCUGGGAAAUCCUAAAUAGUGUUUACCAUUGGCCUUUUAUCAGCUCCAGUAUAAAUGCGUCUGGCCAGACUUGCUUUACAACUAUGCAUAAUGGAUAGUUGGGCCAGGCUUGGUGGCUCAUGCCUAGUGCUUUGGGAGGCCGAGGUGGGAGGAUCACUUCAGCCCAAGAGUUGGAGGCCAGCCUAGGCAACAUGGUGAGACACCAUCUCUACAAAAAAAAAUUUUAUUUUCUGUUUUUUUUUUGAGACGGAGUGUGGCGCUGUCACCCAGGCUGGAGCAACAGAGCCAGACUUUGUCUCAAAUAAAUAAAUAAAUAAAUAAAACCUGCAAAAAAAUUUUUUUAAAUGCCAUUUUUCUUUCUUUCUUUCUUUCUUUUU
Molecule: long non-coding RNA, 896 nt
Filed under: Homo sapiens (human)
Lineage: Eukaryota; Metazoa; Chordata; Mammalia; Primates; Hominidae
Description: non-protein coding lnc-NUCB1-2:2
Source: RNAcentral